This 2566-nucleotide ribosomal RNA is filed under the name Escherichia sp. 93.0743. RNAcentral's name for it is "partial 23S ribosomal RNA". It matches the Rfam family "Bacterial large subunit ribosomal RNA", at positions 398 to 2925 of the family's 2925-position model. The record is from RNAcentral. Lineage: Bacteria; Pseudomonadati; Pseudomonadota; Gammaproteobacteria; Enterobacterales; Enterobacteriaceae.
UGUGAGCUCGAUGAGUAGGGCGGGACACGUGGUAUCCUGUCUGAAUAUGGGGGGACCAUCCUCCAAGGCUAAAUACUCCUGACUGACCGAUAGUGAACCAGUACCGUGAGGGAAAGGCGAAAAGAACCCCGGCGAGGGGAGUGAAAAAGAACCUGAAACCGUGUACGUACAAGCAGUGGGAGCCUCUUUAUGGGGUGACUGCGUACCUUUUGUAUAAUGGGUCAGCGACUUAUAUUCUGUAGCAAGGUUAACCGAAUAGGGGAGCCGAAGGGAAACCGAGUCUUAACUGGGCGUUAAGUUGCAGGGUAUAGACCCGAAACCCGGUGAUCUAGCCAUGGGCAGGUUGAAGGUUGGGUAACACUAACUGGAGGACCGAACCGACUAAUGUUGAAAAAUUAGCGGAUGACUUGUGGCUGGGGGUGAAAGGCCAAUCAAACCGGGAGAUAGCUGGUUCUCCCCGAAAGCUAUUUAGGUAGCGCCUCGUGAAUUCAUCUCCGGGGGUAGAGCACUGUUUCGGCAAGGGGGUCAUCCCGACUUACCAACCCGAUGCAAACUGCGAAUACCGGAGAAUGUUAUCACGGGAGACACACGGCGGGUGCUAACGUCCGUCGUGAAGAGGGAAACAACCCAGACCGCCAGCUAAGGUCCCAAAGUCAUGGUUAAGUGGGAAACGAUGUGGGAAGGCCCAGACAGCCAGGAUGUUGGCUUAGAAGCAGCCAUCAUUUAAAGAAAGCGUAAUAGCUCACUGGUCGAGUCGGCCUGCGCGGAAGAUGUAACGGGGCUAAACCAUGCACCGAAGCUGCGGCAGCGACGCUUAUGCGUUGUUGGGUAGGGGAGCGUUCUGUAAGCCUGUGAAGGUGGCCUGUGAGGGUUGCUGGAGGUAUCAGAAGUGCGAAUGCUGACAUAAGUAACGAUAAAGCGGGUGAAAAGCCCGCUCGCCGGAAGACCAAGGGUUCCUGUCCAACGUUAAUCGGGGCAGGGUGAGUCGACCCCUAAGGCGAGGCCGAAAGGCGUAGUCGAUGGGAAACAGGUUAAUAUUCCUGUACUUGGUGUUACUGCGAAGGGGGGACGGAGAAGGCUAUGUUGGCCGGGCGACGGUUGUCCCGGUUUAAGCGUGUAGGCUGGUUUUCCAGGCAAAUCCGGAAAAUCAAGGCUGAGGCGUGAUGACGAGGCACUACGGUGCUGAAGCAACAAAUGCCCUGCUUCCAGGAAAAGCCUCUAAGCAUCAGGUAACAUCAAAUCGUACCCCAAACCGACACAGGUGGUCAGGUAGAGAAUACCAAGGCGCUUGAGAGAACUCGGGUGAAGGAACUAGGCAAAAUGGUGCCGUAACUUCGGGAGAAGGCACGCUGAUAUGUAGGUGAAGCGACUUGCUCGUGGAGCUGAAAUCAGUCGAAGAUACCAGCUGGCUGCAACUGUUUAUUAAAAACACAGCACUGUGCAAACACGAAAGUGGACGUAUACGGUGUGACGCCUGCCCGGUGCCGGAAGGUUAAUUGAUGGGGUCAGCCGCAAGGCGAAGCUCUUGAUCGAAGCCCCGGUAAACGGCGGCCGUAACUAUAACGGUCCUAAGGUAGCGAAAUUCCUUGUCGGGUAAGUUCCGACCUGCACGAAUGGCGUAAUGAUGGCCAGGCUGUCUCCACCCGAGACUCAGUGAAAUUGAACUCGCUGUGAAGAUGCAGUGUACCCGCGGCAAGACGGAAAGACCCCGUGAACCUUUACUAUAGCUUGACACUGAACAUUGAGCCUUGAUGUGUAGGAUAGGUGGGAGGCUUUGAAGCGUGGACGCCAGUCUGCGUGGAGCCGACCUUGAAAUACCACCCUUUAAUGUUUGAUGUUCUAACGUGGACCCGUGAUCCGGGUUGCGGACAGUGUCUGGUGGGUAGUUUGACUGGGGCGGUCUCCUCCUAAAGAGUAACGGAGGAGCACGAAGGUUGGCUAAUCCUGGUCGGACAUCAGGAGGUUAGUGCAAUGGCAUAAGCCAGCUUGACUGCGAGCGUGACGGCGCGAGCAGGUGCGAAAGCAGGUCAUAGUGAUCCGGUGGUUCUGAAUGGAAGGGCCAUCGCUCAACGGAUAAAAGGUACUCCGGGGAUAACAGGCUGAUACCGCCCAAGAGUUCAUAUCGACGGCGGUGUUUGGCACCUCGAUGUCGGCUCAUCACAUCCUGGGGCUGAAGUAGGUCCCAAGGGUAUGGCUGUUCGCCAUUUAAAGUGGUACGCGAGCUGGGUUUAGAACGUCGUGAGACAGUUCGGUCCCUAUCUGCCGUGGGCGCUGGAGAACUGAGGGGGGCUGCUCCUAGUACGAGAGGACCGGAGUGGACGCAUCACUGGUGUUCGGGUUGUCAUGCCAAUGGCACUGCCCGGUAGCUAAAUGCGGAAGAGAUAAGUGCUGAAAGCAUCUAAGCACGAAACUUGCCCCGAGAUGAGUUCUCCCUGACUCCUUGAGAGUCCUGAAGGAACGUUGAAGACGACGACGUUGAUAGGCCGGGUGUGUAAGCGCAGCGAUGCGUUGAGCUAACCGGUACUAAUGAACCGUGAGGCUUAACCUUACAACGCCGAAGGUGUUU